UAGCCUAGUGGUGAAGGCUAUGGAUCGCCAAUCCGGAGAUGGCGGGUUCGAUUCCCGU
Aedes albopictus (Asian tiger mosquito) is the source of this 58-nucleotide non-coding RNA. The record is from Rfam. Lineage: Eukaryota; Metazoa; Arthropoda; Insecta; Diptera; Culicidae.